RNAcentral lists this ribosomal RNA (486 nucleotides) under uncultured bacterium. RNAcentral describes it as "partial 16S ribosomal RNA". It matches the Rfam family "Bacterial small subunit ribosomal RNA", at positions 28 to 507 of the family's 1533-position model. The record is from RNAcentral.
GAUGAACGCUGGCGGCGUGCCUAAUACAUGCAAGUCGAACGCUGGAAAUCUAGCUUGCUAGAUUGAAGGAGUGGCGAACGGGUGAGUAAUACAUAAGCAACCUACCCACGAAGACUGGGAUAAUCUCUGGAAACGGGGACUAAUACCGGAUAGGUAAUCGGAAGGCAUCUUCUGAUUAUUAAAGGUUAAAAACACUGGUGGAUGGGCUUAUGGCGCAUUAGUUAGUUGGUGAGGUAACGGCCCACCAAGACGAUGAUGCGUAGCCGGCCUGAGAGGGUGAACGGCCACAUUGGGACUGGGACACGGCCCAGGGUCCUGCGGGAGGCAGCAGUAGGGUAUUGUAGGCAGUGGGGGAGACCCUGAGCGAGCGACGCAGCGUGAGUGAUGGCGGCCUUCGGGUUGUAAAGCUCUGUUGUAAGGGAAGAACGGUAGAUAGAGAAUAUCUAAAUGACGGUACCGUACCAGAAAGCCACGGCUAACUACGUG